Molecule: ribosomal RNA, 273 nt
Filed under: uncultured bacterium
Lineage: Bacteria
Description: partial 16S ribosomal RNA
Rfam family: Bacterial small subunit ribosomal RNA
Source: RNAcentral
GAUGAACGCUAGCGGCAGGCUUAACACAUGCAAGUCGAGGGGUAUUGGUUUUCGGACCAAGAGACCGGCGCACGGGUGCGUAACGCGUAUGCAAUCUACCUUUUGCAGAGGGAUAGCCCAGAGAAAUUUGGAUUAAUACCUCAUAGUAUAGUACUUUGGCAUCAAGGAACUAUUAAAGUCACAACGGCAAAGAAUGAGCAUGCGUCCCAUUAGCUAGUUGGUAAGGUAACGGCUUACCAAGGCUACGAUGGUAGGGGUCCGUGAGAGGGAGAU